GACGAACCGUGCGAACGUUAUCCGGAAUUAUUGGGCGUAAAGGGUGUGUAGGUGGCGCCGUAAGUCGGGUGGGAAAUCUCGGGGCUUAACUCCGAAACUGCAUUCGAUACUGCGGUGCUUGAGGACUGGAGAGGAGACUGGAAUUCAUGGUGUAGCAGUGAAAUGCGUAGAGAUCAUGAGGAAGACCAGUGGCGAAGGCGGGUCUCUGGACAGUUCCUGACACUGAGACACGAAGGCCAGGGGAGCAAACGGG
This 253-nucleotide ribosomal RNA is filed under the name uncultured bacterium. RNAcentral describes it as "partial 16S ribosomal RNA". It matches the Rfam family "Bacterial small subunit ribosomal RNA", at positions 524 to 776 of the family's 1533-position model. The record is from RNAcentral.